AUGAUACUCGUGACAACUAGAAUACCAUCUGUUGCCAAAAAGAGAGGUACAACUGGACCGAUUAACUUAGAUGGUUUGAAAAAUGGUGAUUUCUGGCAAAUGUUCAAAGCGUGUGCAUUUGGUGAUGAGAACUAUGAAGAGCAAGUUAGUCUGGGUGAGCUUGGACGGCAGAUAGCAAAAAGGUUACAGGGAAACCCAUUAGCUGCGGAAACUGCAGGGACACUGUUAAGAGAGCAUCUUACCAUUGAUCACUGGAAUAAUAUUUUGAAGAACGAAGAUUGGAAAUCUCUACAACUCAGUAGUGGUAUCAUGUCUGCUUUGAAGCUUUGCUAUGAUCAGCUGCCCUACAAUUUACAGCAAUGCUUCUCAUAUUGCUCUAUAUUCCCCUACGGUUAUCAUUUUCUUGCUGAGGAGCUGGUACGUAUGUGGAUUUCACAGGGAUUUGUGAAGUGUAACCAUUCAAGUAUGAUACAGGAAGAAGGGCGGCGCUAUCUGUGUGACUUGGUAAACCUGGGUUUCUUCAAGCAAGUUGAAAGAAAAGAACUCCCUUCUGGCCAUACUCAAACUUUCUAUGCUAUGUCUAUUCUUAUGCAUGAUUUGGCUAGGGUAGUUUCAAAAACUGAGUGUGCAGCUAUGGAUGGUCUGCAGUACAAUGACAUGCUACCAACUAUACAUCAUUUAUCUAUAGUAAAGGAUGGUCAGACUGGGAAUAUACUUGGUAGUGAGAACUUUGAAGAAAACAUACAGAGCAUAUUUAUAUCAGUGGCAAAAUUGAGGACAUUGGUUUUGAUUGGGCAGUAUGAAUCUUCUUUCUUCGAAGAAGUAUUCCGAAAGGCAUAUAAUUUGCGUGUAUUGCAAAUUUUUGCAACAUCUGUUGAUUUCCAUUCAUUCCGGUAUAGUUUGGUGAAUCUUAUACAUCUUAGAUAUCUAAAACUCGAUGGUCAUGGUGAGCAGGGGAGCUGCUCGCCUCAAGUUCACUUGUAUGAUAAUUCUGCUGUUCGGCAUAAUGCUACUUUCCUUGCCUUGCAGAAUGUGUGUCUAGAGAAUUGCAGAGAAAAGCAAGCGGUUCUAUCUCUGGAAAACCUUCCAUUCCUUACAACAUUGAAGUUAACCAACAUGUGGGGAGUAAGAGAAGUACUGAUUCCGUCAGUGGAGGAGCUAGUUUUAGUUAACAUGUCCGGGUUGGAGAGAUGUUCCUGCACUUCCUUGGGGGAUGGGGUCUCUAGUUUAAGGGUACUGGAGAUCCGGAAGUGCAGUGCACUUAGGGUGUUUGAUCUGUUCGAGAAAACUCACAGCUCGGAAACUCAGCUGAAGCCAUUGAAUGCUCUACAGCUGCAUUCCUGCACAUCUCUGGAAGAUUUGAGAAUUGAAGACUGUGGAGGGAUCAUCGCAAUAGAGGGCCUUCACCUCGUGAAACUCAGGCAUUUGAAUGUAUGCAAAACAUCUAUUUUUCGUGGUAUAUCAGGGAAGGGCUAUCACCUAGGAUCUCAACUGGAUCUAUUUAUAAUUAGUGACUUGUCCCUCCUUACCACAUCAAUCUGCAAGGGGCUCACCUGUCUCCAGAGCCUAAUAAUUCAAAAUUUGAAGUGCAAGGCCACGAGACUAACAGAUGAUCAAGAGAGCGCGCUUCUGCUCCACAAGUCCUUGCAAGAGCUAGUGUUUGGCGAUUGUGAGUACCUCGUGCAUCUUCCUGCAGGACUGCACAGCCUUCCUGCCCUCAAGAUAUUGAAAAUCAGAAGCUGUAGCAGCAUAUUAAGGCUUAUGAAGGAGGAACUCCCACCUUCGCUGGUGGAACUGGAAAUCGACUAUUGCAGCGUUGAGUUGGCAAAACAAUGCAGAUUGCUAGCAACAAGCAAGCUAAAUGUCAUAAUUUAUGAGGACUAUGACCAAGAAGAAACCGAUACUUCCAGCAACUAG
RNAcentral lists this ribosomal RNA (1917 nucleotides) under Triticum aestivum (bread wheat). RNAcentral's name for it is "partial small subunit ribosomal RNA". The record is from RNAcentral. Lineage: Eukaryota; Viridiplantae; Streptophyta; Magnoliopsida; Poales; Poaceae.